This 274-nucleotide ribosomal RNA is filed under the name uncultured bacterium. RNAcentral's name for it is "partial 16S ribosomal RNA". It matches the Rfam family "Archaeal small subunit ribosomal RNA", at positions 473 to 747 of the family's 1478-position model. The record is from RNAcentral.
AAACCAGCACCUCAAGUGGUCAGGAGGAUUAUUGGGCCUAAAGCCUCCGUAGCCUGUUCUAUAAGUUUUCGGUUAAAUCCACUAGCUCAACUAGUGGGCUGCCGAAAAUACUGUAGAACUAGGGAGUGGGAGAGGUAGACGGUAUUCGGUAGGAAUGGGUAAAAUCCUUUGAUCUAUUGAGGACCACCUGUGGCGAAGGCGGUCUACCAGAACACGUUCGACGGUGAGGGAUGAAAGCUGGGGGAGCAAACCGGAUUAGAAACCCCAGUAGUCC